GAUGAACGCUGGCGGCGUGCCUAACACAUGCAAGUCGAACGGAGUUUAUAAUAUGAAGUUUUCGGAUGGAUUACUAUAAACUUAGUGGCGGACGGGUGAGUAACGCGUGGGUAACCUGCCUCAUACAGGGGGAUAACAGUUGGAAACGGCUGCUAAAACCGCAUAACAUUGCGAUGCCGCAUGGCGAUGCAAUUAAAUAUUUAUAGGUAUGAGAUGGGCCCGCGUCUGAUUAGCUAGUUGGUGAGGUAAUGGCUCACCAAGGCGACGAUCAGUAGCCGGCUUGAGAGAGUGACCGGCCACAUUGGGACUGAGACACGGCCCAAACUCCUACGGGAGGCAGCAGUGGGGAAUAUUGCACAAUGGGGGAAACCCUGAUGCAGCGACGCCGCGUGAGUGAAGAAGUAUUUCGGUAUGUAAAGCUCUAUCAGCAGGGAAGAAAUUGACGGUACCUGACUAAGAAGCCCCGGCUAACUACGUGCCAGCCGCCGCGGUAA
This 494-nucleotide ribosomal RNA is filed under the name uncultured bacterium. RNAcentral's name for it is "partial 16S ribosomal RNA". It matches the Rfam family "Bacterial small subunit ribosomal RNA", at positions 28 to 523 of the family's 1533-position model. The record is from RNAcentral.